This 844-nucleotide ribosomal RNA is filed under the name uncultured bacterium. Its description in RNAcentral is "bacterial SSU rRNA". It matches the Rfam family "Bacterial small subunit ribosomal RNA", at positions 29 to 861 of the family's 1533-position model. The record is from RNAcentral.
UCGAACGCGUCUUGGUUAUUGAUGUUAGAUGCUUGCAUUUAACUGAUUUCCCAUUGAGACGAGUGGCGAACUGGUGAGUAACACGUGGGUAACCUGCCCUUGAAGUAGGGGAUAACACUUGGAAACAGGUGCUAAUACCGUAUAACAACCAAAACCACCUGGUUUUGGUUUAAAAGAUGGCUUCGGCUAUCACUUUAGGAUGGACCCGCGGCGUAUUAGCUUGUUGGUAAGGUAACGGCCUACCAAGGCAAUGAUACGUAGCCGACCUGAGAGGGUAAUCGGCCACAUUGGGACUGAGACACGGCCCAAAUUCCUACGGGAGGCAGCAGUAGGGAAUCUUCCACAAUGGACGAAAGUCUGAUGGAGCAACGCCGCGUGAGUGAUGAAGGGUUUCGGCUCGUAAAACUCUGUUGUUGGAGAAGAACAGGUGUGAGAGUAACUGUUCACAUCUUGACGGUAUCCAACCAGAAAGCCACGGCUAACUACGUGCCAGCAGCCGCGGUAAUACGUAGGUGGCAAGCGUUGUCCGGAUUUAUUGGGCGUAAAGCGAGCGCAGGCGGUUUCUUAGGUCUGAUGUGAAAGCCUUCGGCUUAACCGGAGAAGUGCAUCGGAAACCAGGAGACUUGAGUGCAGAAGAGGACAGUGGAACUCCAUGUGUAGCGGUGAAAUGCGUAGAUAUAUGGAAGAACACCAGUGGCGAAGGCGGCUGUCUGGUCUGUAACUGACGCUGAGGCUCGAAAGCAUGGGUAGCGAACAGGAUUAGAUACCCUGGUAGUCCAUGCCGUAAACGAUGAGUGCUAAGUGUUGGAGGGUUUCCGCCCUUCAGUGCUGCAGCUAACGCAUU